Molecule: ribosomal RNA, 595 nt
Filed under: Salmonella enterica
Lineage: Bacteria; Pseudomonadati; Pseudomonadota; Gammaproteobacteria; Enterobacterales; Enterobacteriaceae
Description: partial 23S ribosomal RNA
Rfam family: Bacterial large subunit ribosomal RNA
Source: RNAcentral
AGACCCGAAACCCGGUGAUCUAGCCAUGGGCAGGUUGAAGGUUGGGUAACACUAACUGGAGGACCGAACCGACUAAUGUUGAAAAAUUAGCGGAUGACCUGUGGCUGGGGGUGAAAGGCCAAUCAAACCGGGAGAUAGCUGGUUCUCCCCGAAAGCUAUUUAGGUAGCGCCUCGUGAACUCAUCUCCGGGGGUAGAGCACUGUUUCGGCUAGGGGGCCAUCCCGGCUUACCAACCCGAUGCAAACUGCGAAUACCGGAGAAUGUUAUCACGGGAGACACACGGCGGGUGCUAACGUCCGUCGUGAAGAGGGAAACAACCCAGACCGCCAGCUAAGGUCCCAAAGUCAUGGUUAAGUGGGAAACGAUGUGGGAAGGCCCAGACAGCCAGGAUGUUGGCUUAGAAGCAGCCAUCAUUUAAAGAAAGCGUAAUAGCUCACUGGUCGAGUCGGCCUGCGCGGAAGAUGUAACGGGGCUAAACCAUGCACCGAAGCUGCGGCAGCGACACUUUAGUGUUGUUGGGUAGGGGAGCGUUCUGUAAGCCGUUGAAGGUGUCCUGUGAGGGGUGCUGGAGGUAUCAGAAGUGCGAAUGCUGACA